Molecule: non-coding RNA, 307 nt
Organism: Bactrocera oleae (olive fruit fly)
Lineage: Eukaryota; Metazoa; Arthropoda; Insecta; Diptera; Tephritidae
Source: RefSeq, a predicted model, not a curated record
GUAUUGUUAAUAAUAAUUGUGCAAUAAUGGAAGUUUCCUCCAUUCUGCGCUUUUUUCAUAAACUCAGUAGAAUUCGAGGCAGAGAAUCUACUCAAGAGAUAUAUUAGAAGUAUGGACGUGAAGACAAAGGGAAUGAAUCGAGAAGAAACUUCCGCAGAUACGAAACCAGUAAUAAAAAUCUAACUCCGAAACAUUUUUUAUAUUCACAUAUGUAUGUAUAUUGUUGAUGUACAUUAAUAACACAUAUGUCCACAAAUUCAUAGGCAAUAUCAACUUACUCAAAAACAAAUAAAUUUUGUUAGACGAA